This 72-nucleotide transfer RNA is filed under the name Camelus bactrianus (Bactrian camel). It matches the Rfam family "tRNA". From Rfam's summary of the family: Transfer RNA (tRNA) molecules are approximately 80 nucleotides in length. Their secondary structure includes four short double-helical elements and three loops (D, anti-codon, and T loops). RNAcentral also lists the same sequence under 2 other names. Lineage: Eukaryota; Metazoa; Chordata; Mammalia; Artiodactyla; Camelidae. The record is from Rfam by way of RNAcentral.
GAGGGUAUAGCUCAAGCAGUAGAGUGCAUGCUUAGUUUGCAUGAGGUCCUGGGUUCAAUUCCAGCACCUCCA